UACACUCCUACGGGAGGCAGCAGUGGGGAAUAUUGGACAAUGGGCGCAAGCCUGAUCCAGCCAUGCCGCGUGAGUGAUGAAGGCCCUAGGGUUGUAAAGCUCUUUCACCGGAGAAGAUAAUGACGGUAUCCGGAGAAGAAGCCCCGGCUAACUUCGUGCCAGCAGCCGCGGUAAUACGAAGGGGGCUAGCGUUGUUCGGAAUUACUGGGCGUAAAGCGCACGUAGGCGGAUCGAUCAGUCAGGGGUGAAAUCCCAGGGCUCAACCCUGGAACUGCCUUUGAUACUGUCGAUCUGGAGUAUGGAAGAGGUGAGUGGAAUUCCGAGUGUAGAGGUGAAAUUCGUAGAUAUUCGGAGGAACACCAGUGGCGAAGGCGGCUCACUGGUCCAUUACUGACGCUGAGGUGCGAAAGCGUGGGGAGCAAACAGGAUUAGAAACCCCAGUAGUCCC
Molecule: ribosomal RNA, 448 nt
Filed under: uncultured organism
Description: partial 16S ribosomal RNA
Rfam family: Bacterial small subunit ribosomal RNA
Source: RNAcentral